Molecule: ribosomal RNA, 405 nt
Filed under: uncultured bacterium
Lineage: Bacteria
Description: partial 16S ribosomal RNA
Rfam family: Bacterial small subunit ribosomal RNA
Source: RNAcentral
AUUGAACGCUGGCGGCAGGCUUAACACAUGCAAGUCGAACGAGCGGCGGACGGGUGAGUAAUGCAUGGGGAUCUGGCCUAUGGAGGGGGAUAACUACUGGAAACUGUGGCUAAUACCGCGUACUAGAGGAUGAGCCCAAGUGGGAUUAGCUAGUAGGUGGGGUAAAGGCUCACCAAGCGACGAUCUCUAGCUGGUCUGAGAGGAUGAUCAGCAACACUGGGACUGAGACACGGCCCAGACUCCUACGGGAGGCAGCAGUGGGGAAUAUUGCGCAAUGGGCGCAACCCUGACGCAGCCAUGCCGCGUGUAGGAAGAAGGCCUUCGGGUUGUAAAGUACUUUCGGUGGGGAGGCGUUACCUACAGAAGAAGCACCGGCUAACUCCGUGCCAGCAGCCGCGGUAAUAC